Long non-coding RNA from Aptenodytes forsteri (emperor penguin), 476 nucleotides. RefSeq lists it as uncharacterized. The record is from RefSeq and is a predicted model, not a curated record. NCBI's taxonomy places the organism in Eukaryota, Metazoa, Chordata, Aves, Sphenisciformes, Spheniscidae. The transcript has 3 exons.
AGGGGGCCGUGGGGCAGUGCCCCCUGCUUUAAAUAGAAAGAAAUCCGCGCGUGGGCGAUGCCCAUGCGGCAAGUUUUUCCGAGUUAAAGCCUGCGGCCGGUGCGGAUUUGGGAGCAGGACUGGCGAGGUUCGCCCAACCUGCAGUUCAGUUCUGCAGUGAGACCGGAAAGUGAAAAUGGCUGGAAACAGGGGAAACAAGAAGCGAUUUAUUUUUUUCCCUCCAUCGCGGCUGAGCCCGAUGCAGGGCACGGAGGAGCAGCUUGCGCUGUGCCGGGGUUGGCGUCGCACCGAGCGGUGCUACCCCGCGUUAUCCCGGCACCUAAGGGCUGAACUCCUCCCGGCUGCAGCUCCCAUCCCAGGAGGACAUCUCCAGCGUGGAGCAUCCUGAGAGCACAGCCCUCGGGAAGGGCUUUCCUGAGAUUCGCCAUGUCCUGAAGAGUUCCCAGCAGGGAAGAAUAAAUACUCCUCCUUCCUCG